Molecule: long non-coding RNA, 250 nt
Filed under: Physcomitrium patens
Lineage: Eukaryota; Viridiplantae; Streptophyta; Bryopsida; Funariales; Funariaceae
Description: long non-coding RNA (PPAT_LNC004905)
Source: RNAcentral
AAUUUAUAUUGUUUUCAAUCUUGUAAGUGACAAAUAGAAAUAUUAAUAAAAAAUAAUGCAACCCUAAAGAAUUCAAAUACACUACCAUCUACAUAUACAACAUAUGUGUGCAUUUGUCACGGACACAAAAUACAGACUUGAAAUCUAACAAGAAGUUCAAGAAGAAGUGGCAGAACUAGAUUAAACAGAUGAGUACAAGAACAACACCAGAAAGAUGAGCUAAAACUCCAAGAGAUGUGUUGUCGAGACU